UAGGUAAAGGAUUCGGUGGUUGGUACCUGAGGUUGCAAGUUUGAAAUUCUGAUUGAUUCAUAACUUUAUUUCUAAAUAAAGUAAACGAAGCGGGUAGCGUGCUACCUAAUCUCUUUCUCAAAAAAAAAAAAAAGAUCAUGAAGGUCUUCGUGCUUCUAAGCUGUUUUUGAUGAUGGAACUUUCGAAUUGAUAAUAGACUCCGUUAGACUUGAUCUAGCGUAUUUGAAGUAUCUAAAAAAUAAUUUUUUUAAUUUUUUGAUAUUAUUUAUAUAGCGAUCGAAAGUGUCCAAAAUCAACAGCUGAAAAUAAAAAAUCACAAAACAUAGUGAUAUAGCACUAAAAUUUUCAAUAAUAGAUAUUGAUCUUUCAGUAAAUAGUACAAAAAAUUUUUUAUUAAAAUUUCAUUAGAUUUGAAUACGUUUACAUCAUUAAACUUGUAAACGAUAUAUAUCAAACUAUUAAAAAGUAUUGAUUUUAAAGCCU
This 483-nucleotide long non-coding RNA is filed under the name Ananas comosus (pineapple). RNAcentral's name for it is "long non-coding RNA (ACOM_LNC015716)". The record is from RNAcentral. Lineage: Eukaryota; Viridiplantae; Streptophyta; Magnoliopsida; Poales; Bromeliaceae.